GACGAACGCUGGCGGCGUGCCUAAUACAUGCAAGUAGAACGCUGAAGCUUGGUGCUUGCACCGAGCGGAUGAGUUGCGAUCGGGUGAGUAACGCGUAGGUAACCUGCCUGGUAGCGGGGGAUAACUAUUGGAAACGAUAGCUAAUACCGCAUAACAGUAGAUAUCGCAUGAUAGCUACUUGAAAGGUGCAAAUGCACCACUACCAGAUGGACCUGCGUUGUAUUAGCUAGUUGGUGAGGUAACGGCUCACCAAGGCAACGAUACAUAGCCGACCUGAGAGGGUGAUCGGCCACACUGGGACUGAGACACGGCCCAGACUCCUACGGGAGGCAGCAGUAGGGAAUCUUCGGCAAUGGACGGAAGUCUGACCGAGCAACGCCGCGUGAGUGAAGAAGGUUUUCGGAUCGUAAAGCUCUGUUGUAAGAGAAGAACGAGUGUGAGAGUGGAAAGUUCACACUGUGACGGUAUCUGACCAGAAAGGGACGGCUAACUACGUG
Molecule: ribosomal RNA, 497 nt
Filed under: uncultured bacterium
Lineage: Bacteria
Description: partial 16S ribosomal RNA
Rfam family: Bacterial small subunit ribosomal RNA
Source: RNAcentral